CUGGAAGCGUCUCACGGCGCACCCAGAAACCCUAUGUGAACCUAUACCUCUCUGUUGCCUCGGCGCUGGCUGGGAGCUUUUGUAAACUCCCCCUCCGCUCUCGAGUGGAGGAGCAGGCCCGCCGGCGGCCCUUUAAACUCUUGUUUUUAAAACCCGUCUCUUCUGAGUACAAAUCAUAAAUGAAUCA
Molecule: unclassified non-coding RNA, 187 nt
Filed under: uncultured Diaporthales
Lineage: Eukaryota; Fungi; Ascomycota; Sordariomycetes; Diaporthales
Description: sequence contains ITS1
Source: RNAcentral